AAAGCAGGGGAUCUUCGGACCUUGCGCUAUUAGAUGAGCCUAAGUCGGAUUAGCUAGUUGGUGGGGUAAAGGCCUACCAGGGCGACGAUCUGUAGCGGGUCUGAGAGGAUGAUCCGCCACACUGGGACUGAGACACGGCCCAAACUCCUACGGGAGGCAGCAGUGGGGAAUAUUGGACAAUGGGGGGAACCCUGAUCCAGCCAUGCCGCGUGUGUGAAGAAGGCCUUUUGGUUGUAAAGCACUUUAAGCGAGGAGGAGGCUUACCUGGUUAAUACCUGGGAUAAGUGGACGUUACUCCCAGAAUAAGCACCGGCUAACUCUGUGCCAGCAGCCGCGGUAAUACAGAGGGUGCAAGCGUUAAUCGGAUUUACUGGGCGUAAAGCGCGCGUAGGUGGCUAAUUAAGUCAAAUGUGAAAUCCCCGAGCUUAACUUGGGAAUUGCAUUCGAUACUGGUUAGCUAGAGUAUGGGAGAGGAUGGUAGAAUUCCAGGUGUAGCGGUGAAAUGCGUAGAGAUCUGGAGGAAUACCGAUGGCGAAGGCAGCCAUCUGGCCUAAUACUGACACUGAGGUGCGAAAGCAUGGGGAGCAAACAGGAUUAGAUACCCUGGUAGUCCAUGCCGUAAACGAUGUCUACUAGCCGUUGGGGCCCUUGAGGCUUUAGUGGCGCAGCUAACGCGAUAAGUAGACCGCCUGGGGAGUACGGUCGCAAGACUAAAACUCAAAUGAAUUGACGGGGGCCCGCACAAGCGGUGGAGCAUGUGGUUUAAUUCGAUGCAACGCGAAGAACCUUACCUGGCCUUGACAUACAGAGAACUUUCCAGAGAUGGAUUGGUGCCUUCGGGAACUCUGAUACAGGUGCUGCAUGGCUGUCGUCAGCUCGUGUCGUGAGAUGUUGGGUUAAGUCCCGCAACGAGCGCAACCCUUUUCCUUAUUUGCCAGCACUUYGGGUGGGAACUUUAAGGAUACUGCCAGUGACAAACUGGAGGAAGGCGGGGACGACGUCAAGUCAUCAUGGCCCUUACGGCCAGGGCUACACACGUGCUACAAUGGUCGGUACAAAGGGUUGCUACUGCGCGAGCAGAUGCUAAUCUCAAAAAGCCGAUCGUAGUCCGGAUCGCAGUCUGCAACUCGACUGCGUGAAGUCGGAAUCGCUAGUAAUCGCGGAUCAGAAUGCCGCGGUGAAUACGUUCCCGGGCCUUGUACACACCGCCC
Molecule: ribosomal RNA, 1211 nt
Filed under: Acinetobacter radioresistens
Lineage: Bacteria; Pseudomonadati; Pseudomonadota; Gammaproteobacteria; Moraxellales; Moraxellaceae
Description: bacterial SSU rRNA
Rfam family: Bacterial small subunit ribosomal RNA
Source: RNAcentral